GACUUGUGGAUAGGGGUGAAAGGCCAAUCAAACCCGGUGAUAGCUGGUUCUCCCCGAAAUAUAUUGAGGUAUAGCCUUGCGGAUUGUCUUAUGGAGGUAAAGCUCUGACAGAACUAGGGGUCCUAUCCGACUACCGAAUUCUUUCAAACUCUGAAUACCAUUAAGAUUUACCGCAGGAGUCAGACGGCGGGUGCUAAGGUUCGUCGUCAAAAGGGCAACAGCCCAGACCGACAGCUAAGGCCUCCAAAUGCAUGCUCAGUGGUUAAGGUGGUGGCGUUGUGUAGACACCCAGGACGUUGGCUUAGAAGCAGCCAUCGUUUAAAGAAAGCGUAAUAGCUCACUGGUUCAAUGGCGCUGCGCCGAAAAUGUAACGGGGCUAAGCAUGCUGCCGAAGCUUCGGAUUUGUCUCUGACAACUGGUAGGGGAGCGUUCUCUGCGGGCUGAAGCGGAACCGAAAGGUUUCGUGGACUGCAGAGAAGUGAUUAUGCUGACAUGAGUAACGAUAAAAUAUGUGAAAAACAUAUUCGCCGUAAAUCCAAGGUUUCCUGGGUAAAGGUAAUCUUCCCAGGGUUAGUCGGACCCUAAGGCCAGGCUGAAAGGCGUAGCUGAUGGGAAACGGGUUAAUAAUCCUGUACUUGUGCGAUUGUGCGAAGAAGGGACGCAGGAUGGUAGACAGGCCGGUUUUUGGAAUCCGGUGCAAGUGUGUAGGUAUGCUCCGCAGGCAAAUCCGCGGGGAUGAGCCGAGACACGAGUCCGUGGGCGCAAGCCCUGAAGCUGUUGAGCCACGGCUGCCAAGAAAAGCUUCUAAGUUUAGAUCGCGCGAACCGUACCGCAAACCAACUCAGGUGGAUGGGAUGAAUAAUCCAAGGCGCUCGAGAGAACUCUGGCCAAGGAACUCGGCAAAUUGACCCCGUACCUUCGGAAUAAGGGGUGCUCCCCACGGUGAGACAAAUUCUUGUUCAGCCCCGGGGAGCCGCAGAGAAAUGGUGGUGGCGACUGUUUACUAAAAACAUAGGUCUGUGCGAAGUCCUACAGACGACGUAUACGGACUGACGCCUGCCCGGUGCCGGAAGGUUAAAAGGAGGAGUCAGCGCAAGCGAAGCUCCGAUUUGAAGCCCCGGUAAACGGCGGCCGUAACUAUAACGGUCCUAAGGUAGCGAAAUUCCUUGUCGGGCAAGUUCCGACCUGCACGAAUGGCGUAACGAUCUCCACGCUGUCUCGGCCAGAGACUCGGUGAAAUUGAAGUCGCGGUGAAAAUGCCGUGUACCCGCAGAAAGACGGAAAGACCCU
This 1290-nucleotide ribosomal RNA is filed under the name human gut metagenome. RNAcentral describes it as "bacterial LSU rRNA". It matches the Rfam family "Bacterial large subunit ribosomal RNA", at positions 806 to 2092 of the family's 2925-position model. The record is from RNAcentral.